Phragmites australis (common reed) is the source of this 1949-nucleotide long non-coding RNA. RefSeq lists it as uncharacterized. The transcript is spliced from 3 exons. NCBI's taxonomy places the organism in Eukaryota, Viridiplantae, Streptophyta, Magnoliopsida, Poales, Poaceae. The record is from RefSeq and is a predicted model, not a curated record.
CCCUCCCCUCCCCGUGCCCUGAUCUCAUUCCACUCUCCCGAACCUCACCUCCCUCCGUCCCUUUAUAUCUGCGCGUCGCCGGCCCCGAUCCCCUGCCGCACGAGCGCAGCCGGCAUGGAAAAGACGUCGCCGCGGCCAGCACACCCGUCACCUCCGUCCCCCUUGCAACUGCGCAUCUUCUCUCCCAUGCCCGCACUGGGCACCCCCAACCCUGGUGCGUUGCCCUACCCCGUGCCCUUCGUCGCGGGCUACUUCUCCUCCUCGUCCAACGCCACUGCCGCCACCACUGUGUCCCCGUUCUCCGAAGUUGCCUCAUUCUCCUGCGUGUCCCUGUUCGGAGACGCCCCGCCUAGCACCUGGGAGAGCUCGAUCCUGCAGACUGGAACUCGAUCCGGGCAUGGAUGAGAUGGAUCCGAAGAAAGGAGUUCGAUUUGGGAGGGUCGGUCACAGAUCAUCAUCAGCUGUGUUGUCCUUCGUCGGGUGGUCGUGCAGGAUGUCGUGGAGGCUGAGCUUGACACACUCCCUCACGCACAGCCUCGCCCGUGCCAGGGUUGAUGGCGAGUGUGUGCAGGUCGAUGAGGGCAGGGUGGCCAAGCAAGCAACGCCGCCGCCGCCGCGAGCAAGGGUUGCCUCGUGGUCUCGGAUUCCGGCGACCAUGGCGGUUGCCGCCCCGGGCAUCUCAACCUCGAUGAGUCCGCCGUCGGGAUUUCGCAUCCGCGUCGCCACCGUCGUUUCCACCGCCGUCGCCCACCGUCAUCGCCUCUUUUGCCGUCAAAGGCGCACAGUUCCAUCGCCUUCACUUGUAAGUGGUGUCGACGUGCAUCUGUGAUCCCCUCCGCUCUUUCUCCUAUUUCUUUUAUCGAUGCUCGCUGAGUUUAGCUCCGGUCGGCCAAGUGGCCAUGGCCGUCGAUCUAGCUCCGGUCCAAUUUAUUUUGCAGGGGUUUGCCGAGUUUAGCUCUGGCCAGCAGCAUCAUCGUGGCCGUCGAGGUAGCUUUGGCUGCGUUGGUGCCUUGUGUAGUCGUCACCGACGAGCUGGUGCCUUUCGUGCUACCUUCUUCUACUCCGGCCGGUGUUUCGUCGGUGGACUGCAUGGUGGGGCCACACCAGCUGACGGUGGGUACGCGCUGCUGCGCCCAGGCAGAGAGGUCGAACAGAGAGGCCUGGCGCAGCUCCGGCUAGGCGGGUCACCAUGCGGAGCACAUGUCCUCAUCUCCCAUGAAUUCACCCACACACCAUGAAAUGUCGUUCAUUGAUGCCGACCAUAUACCUUUUGGCCGCAACCGACAUGUGAAUGGGCGUCGGCGCUCUCACGCACGGCUUCAGGAAGAGUUUUCAAAACUUCUUAUUUACGACGUGCAUAUGAUGAUGUUUCGAACAAGGGUAUUAUUGGGAAGGAUGGGUAUGUAUGAUCAGUAUCAGGAUUGGCACCUUGAUGUCGAUAACAUGACAUAUGAGGUACCCCAGCUGCAUAUCAUGUACCCUAAAAAUCGAAAGUUUGCACGGUUAUCAUCACUUACUAUUUCAUUGGACAGGAACUGCUUGAUCUUGAGUACCGAAUUGGAUAUGUAAGUACAGGGUUGCAUGAGGAUGAGAUCAUUCGAAACCUUAGGAUGGUCAAAUACUUGCAUUCCACCCCAUACAUUUUUCAACAUAAAUGGAUCGGAGAUGUAGCAUUUGUCAAGUAUAUACGGGGAUAUUGUUUCAUCGCAUAUCACAUGUAGGCAUGAUGAUAUACAAUUUAGAUGAUGGUUACAUAUAGGUAAAUAGUAUUGCCUUCUCGCAAGCUUCCCCGGUUGUCCAGAGUGAAGGACCUGAAGACACCUCAGCAUAUGGAUCUUUUGAAGCCUCCAUCUUUCUUACUUGACUGAGUAUGUAUUCAUCAUUCGGUUCGAGCUUACUUAGAAUUUUUUUUAUCUGUUGUAUAUCAAUAUAGAAACCCUUCUCGCCCA